RNAcentral lists this long non-coding RNA (5070 nucleotides) under Brassica napus (rape). RNAcentral describes it as "long non-coding RNA (BNAP_LNC018957)". The record is from RNAcentral. Lineage: Eukaryota; Viridiplantae; Streptophyta; Magnoliopsida; Brassicales; Brassicaceae.
AAAAUUCCAAUAAAAGGAAGCUAUUGUGCUCCAACUAUAUGUUUGGAUAAGUGUAAGAAGCAACAUGGAACUGUUGGUAGUUGUGCGGAAGAAAAAGGAUUUUGUAACUGCGCUUGUAAAUAAGGGUUCUCACUAAGUGUUAUGAAUCUAGUAAUGUCCAACCAAAGUUUUAUAUUAUUUCUUUUAACAAUAAGUCUAAAUGUUUGUUUUUGAUUUGUGGAUCUAUUUAUAAUAAAUAAUAAUAUGAAUGUUAAAUAAAUACAAAUGUGUAAAACAAGAGUGGACUAUUAAUAAAAUAUAUGAUCACAUUAUUGUUAGAAGUAACCAAUAUUACGUGUAAAAUCAAAAGCUUAAGAAGAGUUAAAAAGAUAGAGACGAAAUCACAACCAAUAUUUAAAUGUGAGAUAAUCAACUAACACGUAAUUUUGUACACAUUGUAAAAAAAAAAAGCAAGAGUUGAUUAUCAAACAAAAAAGUGUUAGAAAGAGCAACAGAUCAUUCAAGGGCAGACUAGGUUUGAAUUGGCUUGACAGAUGGGAUGCAGACAUGCCAUAGGAAAGUCUUACAAACUCAUCAGACAACGCAAAGAAAAGUGAUAGCAUUGUUUCUGAACAUGACAAAGCUUUGGUCAUGAAGAAAAAUUUCACAACCAGAGUUUUUGGUAGACCUCCUCCAAUGUCAUCAUCAGCUACGAGUUUUGAGACUUCAUCCACAUCUCAGUCUCUAUUUCAAUUCUCAUGAAGUUUCCUUUAGAGAAGAGGUUAUUACAAAAAGCCAAGUUACAUGAACCUAACACAAUCUAUCAAAGGUAAGAAGAGACGAUCAACCAGUAUUCUUCAUCUUCUUGUUUCAAAAUCACUGUUUGAAAAUAAACAGUCAAUGUCUUACAACGAAGAUGUGAAUGUAAAGUGUUGUGCAUGUUCGGAUCCAUCUUGCACCCAGUGGAGUGAUCUAUAUCCACAUGCUCAAGUAACAAGGAGAAAUAUGUGGGAAUAUAUGUAAAAAUACUUCUUUUUUUUUUUUUUGUCAUCAGCAUUACAGAUUUCUAUAUAAGUUACUUCUUAUGUUUUAACAAAUAGAAUACUUCAUCUCUUUCCUAAAUUUUAAGCCAAUAUCAAUCCAUUUCUAUAAUCCAUGAUGAAGAAAUCCCUUCAACUCUCGUUUACGUUCUUAAUUAUCUCCAUCAUUCUCUCACAAGGUUUGUAUUUACAUCUUAAUAUAUUGCAUAUAUUAAUUCCAUAAUAAAUUGAUUAUACUAAAAUUUGACUUUUAAAAUAUUGUAAACCUCAAUAUAAUAAAUUUUAUUAACUAUAUAAAACAUAGCAUUAAAUUAUCUCUUUGUGUAAAAUUCAUAAAUUUGCAGAAGGCUAGAAAAUAUAGAUAGUAUGGUCAGAAAUGUUUUUGUUAAAAUUGAAAGGAUCAACCAUGAAGUAUUUAACUGUUUUUUAUACUUUAUGCCAUUUAUAAUUUUUUUUAAUGUAUGGGUUUAUAUAUGAUGAAGAACUAUUAUGAUAAAAUAAUAUUAAAUAAUUUCAUUUUUAUCAUCUAUUUAUGAACAUUUUGUCCUGCACAUACAAACGAUUUAACCAACAUUUUUCAUAAUAUGGAUGAACUAUAGUUCUUACGUAAAUUUAUUUGAUAUUUUUAAUUAAAUUUAUAUAUUUUUGUAGGUAAUAUGUUAUGCAUUUCCAAUACAUACAGUAGUUGUUCUUAAAAUAUCAAAAUUUUAUACGUAAUGUUUAUUAAUAUGCACACAAUUCUUAAAACCAUAUUUUCACAAAAUAAAAAAUAAUGUGUUACCAAACGAUAUGCUCAUUUUUUUAAUUUACUGGCAAAAUAUAUUUCUUUUUUUUACUUAUAACGUUUAAAACGAAAUGUUAUUAAACAUUUUUUGCUGAUAAAUAAAUUUUCUAUUUCAUAAAAUCUAUAUAUAUUUUCUAACAAUUAAAAUUUAAAAUUUUAAUAUCUUACAGGAAUGAUGGCAGAUGCGCAGAAAAAGAAUUGUCCUCAUAAAAUUCCAAUAAAAGGAAGCUAUUGUGCUCCAACUAUAUGUUUGGAUAAGUGUAAGAAGCAACAUGGAACUGUUGGUAGUUGUGCGGAAGAAAAAGGAUUUUGUAACUGCGCUUGUAAAUAAGGGUUCUCACUAAGUGUUAUGAAUCUAGUAAUGUCCAACCAAAGUUUUAUAUUAUUUCUUUUAACAAUAAGUCUAAAUGUUUGUUUUUGAUUUGUGGAUCUAUUUAUAAUAAAUAAUAAUAUGAAUGUUAAAUAAAUACAAAUGUGUAAAACAAGAGUGGACUAUUAAUAAAAUAUAUGAUCACAUUAUUGUUAGAAGUAACCAAUAUUACGUGUAAAAUCAAAAGCUUAAGAAGAGUUAAAAAGAUAGAGACGAAAUCACAACCAAUAUUUAAAUGUGAGAUAAUCAACUAACACGUAAUUUUGUACACAUUGUAAAAAAAAAAAGCAAGAGUUGAUUAUCAAACAAAAAAGUGUUAGAAAGAGCAACAGAUCAUUCAAGGGCAGACUAGGUUUGAAUUGGCUUGACAGAUGGGAUGCAGACAUGCCAUAGGAAAGUCUUACAAACUCAUCAGACAACGCAAAGAAAAGUGAUAGCAUUGUUUCUGAACAUGACAAAGCUUUGGUCAUGAAGAAAAAUUUCACAACCAGAGUUUUUGGUAGACCUCCUCCAAUGUCAUCAUCAGCUACGAGUUUUGAGACUUCAUCCACAUCUCAGUCUCUAUUUCAAUUCUCAUGAAGUUUCCUUUAGAGAAGAGGUUAUUACAAAAAGCCAAGUUACAUGAACCUAACACAAUCUAUCAAAGGUAAGAAGAGACGAUCAACCAGUAUUCUUCAUCUUCUUGUUUCAAAAUCACUGUUUGAAAAUAAACAGUCAAUGUCUUACAACGAAGAUGUGAAUGUAAAGUGUUGUGCAUGUUCGGAUCCAUCUUGCACCCAGUGGAGUGAUCUAUAUCCACAUGCUCAAGUAACAAGGAGAAAUAUGUAGGCAAAGAAGCUAAAGUAAACAUUGUUUCAUUAAAUCAUUAAAGCAUUUCAACACCUUGACGGUUCUAAAACACACACAAAAUGCUGAUUUAUUGAUAUAUAAGCAACUUCUAUGUAUGUUUUUUUACAUACGAGUUAGUAUGAAAACCGCUGCAAUGUUGUUGUUUGACCACUUUUAUUAUUUAAUAGUUAACUUCUGAUGAUUCUAAGAUAAUAUGUUAUUCCCAACUCUUGUCAAUAUGAAAGCAAGAGCAAAGUUUCAUCUUUAUACAUGAAAGACCAAUAAAAUGACCAAAAAACAUAGUUUAGACGAAAGCUUCCUAAUAAAAUUUAUUCUCACUAUCUAAAUCUAAAACUGAAUUCAAUUCAUCUAUCUGAUUAUUAUAUAGUUUUCAUUUUCGUUAUUUUAUUGAAUUGAGUAAAAAAAAUUCAAUUAUAAACUUAGUAAUUUUUUAGUAUAAUCUUAUAAAUUAUGUAACGUGUGGGACAUCCACCUAAUAAACUAUUAAUUUAAAUAGUAAUGUUUGAAAAGUAUUUUAUUGACAUUGUUUUAAAUAAAUUCAUAAUUCUAAAAAUAGCAAUAACUUUUUGAAAACAUCAGAUUUAUGUACACGCAUAGGACACAUACCUUUUUAUUUACUUAAAGGUAAAUGAACGAGUCUAAAUUUUCCACAUGUUAUAUGAGCAAAACAUGGAUUUUUCUAAAUUGGAUUAGUUUUUAUCGGAACACAUUAAUGUGCGUUUCUUAAAUUAGAUUUUUAAUAUGUAUAUAUACGUAUGAAUACUUCUUAUAUUUAAAUAAAAAAUAGAAUACUUCAUCUCUUUCCUAAAUUUUUAAGCCAAUAUCAAUCCAUUUCUAUAAUCCAAGAUGAAGAAAUCCCUUCAACUCUCGUUUACGUUCUUAAUUAUCUCCAUCAUUCUCUCACAAGGUUUGUAUUUACAUCUUAAUAUAUUGCAUAUAUUAAUUCCAUAAUAAAUUGAUUAUACUAAAAUUUGACUUUUAAAAUAUUGUAAACCUCAAUAUAAUAAAUUUUAUUAACUAUAUAAAACAUAGCAUUAAAUUAUCUCUUUGUGUAAAAUUCAUAAAUUUGCAGAAGGCUAGAAAAUAUAGAUAGUAUGGUCAGAAAUGUUUGCGUUAAAAUUGAAAGGAUCAACCAUGAAGUAUUUAACUGUUUUUUAUACUUUAUGCCAUUUAUAAUUUUUUUAAUGUAUGGAUUUAUAUAUGAUGAAGAACUAUUAUGAUAAAAUAAUAUUAAAUAAUUUCAUUUUUAUCAUUUAUUUAUGAACAUUUUGUCCUGCACAUACAAAUGAUUUAACCAACAUUUUUCAUAAUAUGGAUAAACUAUAGUUCUUACGUAAAUGUAUUUGAUACUUUUAAUUAAAUUUAUAUAUUUUUAUAGGUAAUAUGUUAUGCUUUUCUAAUACAUACAGUAGUUGUUCAUAAAAUAUCAAAAUUUUAUACGUAAUGUUUAUUAAUAUGCACACAAUUCUUAAAACCAUAUUUUUCACAAAAUAAAAAAUAAUGUGUGACCAAACGAUAUGCUCAUUUUUUUUAUUUACUGGCAAAAUAUAUUUCUUUUUUUUUUUGCUUAUAACGUUUAAAACGAAAUGUUAUUAAACAUUUUUUGCUGAUAAAUAAAUUUUUUAUUUCAUAAAAUCUAUAUAUAUAUUCUAACAAUUAAAAUUUAAUAUUUUAAUAUCUUACAGGAAUGAUGGCAGAUGCGCAGAAAAAGAAUUGCCCUCAUAAAAUUCCAAUAAAAGGAAGCUAUUGUAUUCCAACUAAAUGUUUGGAUAUGUGUAAGAAGCAACAUGGAACUCUUGGUAGUUGUUCGGAAGAAAAAGGAUUUUGUAACUGCGCUUGUAAGUAAGGGUUCUCACUAAGUGUUAUGAAUCUAGUAAUGUCCAACCAAAGUUUUAUAUUAUUUCUUUUAACAAUAAGUCUAAAUGUUUGUCUCUGAUUUGUGGAUCUAUUUAUAAUAAAUAAUAAUAUGAAUGUUAAAUAAAUACAAAUGUGUAAAACAAGAGUGGACUAUUAAUAAAAUAUAUGAUCACAUUAUUGUUAGAAGUAAC